GCCACGGUGGUACAGCGGUCAGAACGCUGGCCUUGUAAUCCUGGGGUCUCGGGUUCGAAUCCCGGCGGUGCCC
RNAcentral lists this transfer RNA (73 nucleotides) under Zootermopsis nevadensis. It matches the Rfam family "tRNA". From Rfam's summary of the family: Transfer RNA (tRNA) molecules are approximately 80 nucleotides in length. Their secondary structure includes four short double-helical elements and three loops (D, anti-codon, and T loops). Lineage: Eukaryota; Metazoa; Arthropoda; Insecta; Blattodea; Termopsidae. The record is from Rfam by way of RNAcentral.